Long non-coding RNA from Lolium perenne, 844 nucleotides. RefSeq lists it as uncharacterized. NCBI's taxonomy places the organism in Eukaryota, Viridiplantae, Streptophyta, Magnoliopsida, Poales, Poaceae. The record is from RefSeq and is a predicted model, not a curated record.
GGACGAACCCUAGAAGGCUAGAACUCUAGAAGAGAGCGGCAUCGGGGGAAAUGGAGGAGCCGACCGUGGAAUGAGGCGUGGCGCAGCUCGGCCGUGGCGCGUCCAGGCCCAUCAUAGAUGCGCGUAUCAGGAGCCGACCGGGCGAUGAGGCGUGGCGCGGCUGUGGCGUCCAGGGCGGGGAGGGGGACGAGGCAUGGCCGUGGCGUCCAGCCGCUGCGCAGGAGAAGCCGUCCAGGAAUUGUGACGACGCGCUGCGAGGCCGUGGCGUCCAGGCCCCCUACGGAUGCGUGCGGACGGAUGGGUACCACUGGUGGUCGGCUCCCCCGGAGGCGAGGUGGGAGCGGCCAUGGCGGCCAGGUCGGUGGCAGUAGCGGUUGCUCGCUGCGUCGGCGAGGUGGGUGAAACUGAGAAGCGGCCAUGGCAGCUAGGUGGUUGGCUCCCUCCACAGAUUCACACUCCAUUUUGGAGAAACUUGCAGAACCUAUUAACAAGGAGGAUGCAGAGACAAGUACAUGAGGAUGGGGACUCCGCUGGUGAGGGAGCGCUCGGGAACGCGGACUAUAAACCCUUGACUAUGUAGUUGUGGCAUUUCUAGCCAUGUUGGCUGUUGUCCUCAUAUAUACCUGCUACUCGAAGAUGCCAGUCCCACAUGACAAUGUGAUCGUGUAGUAUCAUGUGUUCUGUUCUUGUUUCUCUUUUUGGAUUGAUCUUUGGUGUUUUAUCACUCCAGUGUCGUGGAAUAAGCGGUUUUGGGUGUUGUUUGUAUUAUCUAGCUGAAUUUGGUGAUGAAUGUUGUGGAGAAACAGAAUGGAAAAUCAGUGGAAAUGAUUAUGUGGUUUAUUUU